Molecule: ribosomal RNA, 292 nt
Filed under: uncultured bacterium
Lineage: Bacteria
Description: partial 16S ribosomal RNA
Rfam family: Bacterial small subunit ribosomal RNA
Source: RNAcentral
GUGUCAGCAGCCGCGGUAAUACGUAGGGUGCAAGCGUUAAUCGGAAUUACUGGGCGUAAAGCGUGCGCAGGCGGUUCUAUAAGACAGAUGUGAAAUCCCCGGGCUCAACCUGGGAACUGCAUUUGUGACUGUAGAGCUGGAGUGCGGCAGAGGGGGAUGGAAUUCCGCGUGUAGCAGUGAAAUGCGUAGAUAUGCGGAGGAACACCGAUGGCGAAGGCAAUCCCCUGGGCCUGCACUGACGCUCAUGCACGAAAGCGUGGGGAGCAAACAGGAUUAGAUACCCUGGUAGUCC